UUUUACCUCUAAUUCCCCUAUUGGGUCCUGCCCCUCUGCCCCUAGUGGGGCUCAAUGACAAGCUAUGCAGCCAACUUUCCAUAGAGAGACGGGUCACAACUGCCUACCAUUCCCAGACCAAUGGCCUGACAGAGCCGCUUAAUCAGACACUAUGUCAUGCCAUUGUUAAGUAUGAUAACGGGACACAAGAUGAUUGGGACACAUACUUGCAACAGAUUGCAUUCGCAACCAGGACAUGCAUACAAGCCUCAACCAAAGAAACUCCUUUUCAUCUUACAUAUAUAUGGAGGAGAGGCAGUACUCCCAGUCCAAUUGGACAUACCUACAACUUUGUCUCCUGAUUCUGAUAUCAAUGCUGACGACUUCCAGGAGAUUUUAAAUGACAAAGCUGCAUCUUUCGCAGAACUGUUGAACUUGCAGAUCCUUGCUAAGGACAGGUUCAGAGAGGCACAAAAGAGACAGAAAACCCACUACGAUAAACAGAACAAGGGAAAAGAGCAUGUAGUUGGAGACAGUGUCUUAAUCAGAAACAAGAAGAGAGUAAACAGGAAAGGGGACAAACUGGCAUCAAAAUGGGUUGGACCUUUCGUUAUGUCUGCCUGCAUCUGAAAAAGGGUGUAUAAAUUAAGUAGAGGGAAGAAAAACAAAGAUAAACAUCAAAGACAUGAAGCUGUAUAGACAAGACGAAGAGACAAAGACUGCAACAGGUGCAAAGAGAAUGAAGAGAAAUCACAGAAAAGUUUAGUCCGACAGAACAACUAAACAGAAACAAGCAACAAAGAAAACAAAGACAAGAAAAAGACUCAAAGUUCUGCCAUCAGAGACAAAGAAAGAGAAAAGAAAGAGCAAUGCUUUAAACAGAAAGACCACAGAACCGAAAACAAAAUCCCAUCUUCCAACACCUGUCAAAGGGAUACCUGAGCAUGUAAGGACAAUGGAGAGCAGCACCAAGCUGAAGGUAUUCCAGAUAUGCAGCAAAGCCUCGGUACAACGACCAAGCAAUCCUACCAAGGAUGCUGUUGCUAAGUCACCAAUCCUUUCUAUUAUCAUGGAGGCUGACCGGAGACUCGGGGAGGAGGUUGACCGGAGACUCGGGGAGGAGGCUGACCGGAGACUCGGGGAGGAGGUUGAGCUUUGCCAGAAUGCUAUGCUUUCUUGGUAUAUGACUGCAGAUCUCAAGACGGAAUUAGUCGACACACUUGAUACAUUCAUGUUAACUUCACCACUCCUGACAACCUCAUUCCAUGACAACAUUUUUAUUGACGAUAUAUGCUUAAGACUAUACAAAAUGUGCCUACCUCAACAUUACCAGCUGACUCACCUUGCAAAGUUCUCAAAACUUCAACAAAAGUGACCAUUGGAAACAACAUUAUAACGGAGGGACCUGUGUACACUUUAUCCUGAUAAGUGGCUGAAUGAUCAGGUUAUCCACGCCUAUAUAUAAGGACUUUUGAAGUCAGGUUUCAAUUUCGUCCUCCACAAAGGAUGCUAUGUUCCUCCCUUUUUCCUAGCGACUAAGUGAGAAGCAGGGGAAUACAAUGCUUGGCUGUAUCCAAAGGUGAAUUGGGAGUCGUACCAGACUGUAUUGUUGCCCGUUUGUCACCAGCACCACUGGUUUCUCCUGGUUGCCUCCAUGGAGACUGCUACCAUCUCUGUGCUCGACUCCCUUCCUCAUGCAGGAAGAGCACAAAGAUUCAGCUAUCAUUGGAGAUUUCCUUCAAGUGCUAUUCACAGCUUGGUACCUCCAGAGAGGUAUAAAACAGUUCUAGGAGUGCACCCCAUCCACUCUAGCAAACCUUUACACCACAGUUGUAAAGUCAUAUCCUAAGUUAUGGGCAGGUGAAGAGGAGCCCC
This is a long non-coding RNA of Mizuhopecten yessoensis (Yesso scallop), 1854 nucleotides long. RefSeq lists it as uncharacterized. NCBI's taxonomy places the organism in Eukaryota, Metazoa, Mollusca, Bivalvia, Pectinida, Pectinidae. The record is from RefSeq and is a predicted model, not a curated record. The transcript has 4 exons.